RNAcentral lists this ribosomal RNA (310 nucleotides) under Salmonella enterica. RNAcentral describes it as "bacterial SSU rRNA". It matches the Rfam family "Bacterial small subunit ribosomal RNA", at positions 1 to 307 of the family's 1533-position model. Lineage: Bacteria; Pseudomonadati; Pseudomonadota; Gammaproteobacteria; Enterobacterales; Enterobacteriaceae. The record is from RNAcentral. RNAcentral also lists the same sequence under 3 other names.
AAAUUGAAGAGUUUGAUCAUGGCUCAGAUUGAACGCUGGCGGCAGGCCUAACACAUGCAAGUCGAACGGUAACAGGAAGCAGCUUGCUGCUUUGCUGACGAGUGGCGGACGGGUGAGUAAUGUCUGGGAAACUGCCUGAUGGAGGGGGAUAACUACUGGAAACGGUGGCUAAUACCGCAUAAUGUCGCAAGACCAAAGAGGGGGACCUUCGGGCCUCUUGCCAUCAGAUGUGCCCAGAUGGGAUUAGCUUGUUGGUGAGGUAACGGCUCACCAAGGCGACGAUCCCUAGCUGGUCUGAGAGGAUGACCAG